Molecule: long non-coding RNA, 382 nt
Filed under: Homo sapiens (human)
Lineage: Eukaryota; Metazoa; Chordata; Mammalia; Primates; Hominidae
Description: HSALNT0369801
Source: RNAcentral
GAGCCAAGAGGAAGAAGAAGCGAAUGCGCAGGCUGAAGCGCAAAAGAAGAAAGAUGAGGCAGAGGUCCAAGUAAACCGCUAGCUUGUUGCACCGUGGAGGCCACAGGAGCAGAAACAUGGAAUGCCAGACGCUGGGGAUGCUGGUACAAGUUGUGGGACUGCAUGCUACUGUCUAGAGCUUGUGUCAAUGGAUCUAGAACUUCAUCGCCCUCUGAUCGCCGAUCACCUCUGAGACCCACCUUGCUCAUAAACAAAAUGCCCAUGUUGGUCCUCUGCCCUGGACCUGUGACAUUCUGGACUAUUUCUGUGUUUAUUUGUGGCCGAGUGUAACAACCAUAUAAUAAAUCACCUUUUCCACUGUUUUAGCUGAAAUCGGAAGAGC